UACGUAGGGUGCGAGCGUUAAUCGGAAUUACUGGGCGUAAAGGGUGCGCAGGCGGCGACGCAAGUCAGGCGUGAAAUCCCCGGGCUUAACCUGGGAACUGCACUUGAAACUACGAUGCUGGAGUAUGGCAGAGGGAGGUGGAAUUCCACGUGUAGCGGUGAAAUGCGUAGAGAUGUGGAGGAACACCGAUGGCGAAGGCAGCCUCCUGGGCCAAUACUGACGCUCAUGCACGAAAGCGUGGGGAGCAAACAGG
This 253-nucleotide ribosomal RNA is filed under the name uncultured bacterium. Its description in RNAcentral is "partial 16S ribosomal RNA". It matches the Rfam family "Bacterial small subunit ribosomal RNA", at positions 524 to 776 of the family's 1533-position model. The record is from RNAcentral.